GGUGGCAUUCGCGAGAUCGAGUUCAUCGUGCAGCUGGUGCAGCUGAUUCGCGGCGGCCGUGAGCCGAGUUUGCGGGUGCGGGGCCUGCUGCCGGCGC
This 97-nucleotide transfer RNA is filed under the name Dyella flagellata. RNAcentral describes it as "tRNA-His". The record is from RNAcentral. Lineage: Bacteria; Pseudomonadati; Pseudomonadota; Gammaproteobacteria; Lysobacterales; Rhodanobacteraceae.